This is an RNA transcript of Triticum aestivum (bread wheat), 1437 nucleotides long. It is a transcript of the gene named C-factor, with no coding region annotated. Lineage: Eukaryota; Viridiplantae; Streptophyta; Magnoliopsida; Poales; Poaceae. The transcript is spliced from 7 exons. The record is from RefSeq and is a predicted model, not a curated record.
AGUGGACGUGUGCCUUCGUCCAGCCGCGCAUAUCCCGUCGCCUUCGCCGGCCCGAACCACCCCGCCAUUACUGCAACCCAACCAUGUGAUGCUGCGGAGGAGGCGCCAUUAAGCCACCACCACGCCCUCUCUUCCCAGGGACGAUGCGCGCGAAUACGCUGAGAGCAGCAAUGGCGACGGCCAGGAUGGCGCUGUCGUCGCCGGCAAGAGCGCUCUCGUCCGCGGCCGCGCACCCUCCCGCCUCCGGCGUGGCCAUGGUGCAGGGCGCGUCGCGCGGCAUCGGGCUGGAGUUCGUGAGGCAGCUGCUGCGGAGGAGCGACCAGGGCCGCGUCGUCGCGACGUGCCGCGCCCCCGACUCCGCCGCCGAGCUCCAGGAGCUGAGGCGGGAGCACGCGGGGCGCCUCACCGUGCUGCCGCUGGACGUCACCGACGAGAGCACCAUAGAGGCCGCCGCAGCCGCAGUUGGGGAGACCCACGGAUCCCUCGACCUACUGAUCAAUGCCGCCGGCAUCCUUUCGAUCCAAAAUGUGAUACAGCCAGAGACCUCGUUGAGCAAAGUUCAGAAGUCAUCCCUGCUACUGGCAUAUGAAGUCAAUGCUGUCGGUCCUAUUCUAGUCAUCAAGCAUAUGCGUCCGUUCCUGAAGAUUGGUGCGAGCUUGGAAACAGGGAAAGGUUUUUCGUUGGUUGCAAAUAUGAGCGCUAGGGUUGGCUCGAUUGGAGACAAUGCUCUGGGAGGCUGGCAUUCGUACAGAGCUUCUAAAACAGCACUGAAUCAAUUGACUAAGACUGCGUCAGUCGAGUUGGGCAAGAAGGACAAUAUCGCCUGCAUUUUGCUGCAUCCAGGAACUGUCGACACCGAUCUCUCACGGCCAUUCCAAAGAAAUGUGGCCAAGGAUAAACUCUUCACGAGGGAGUUCUCUGUGCAGAAGCUCCUGUCCAUCAUUGACAAUGCCAAGAAGACUGACAAUGGGAAGUUCUUCGCUUGGGAUGGCCAAGAAAUUCCUUGGUGACCACUGUUUUCCAGUCAGUGAUAAUUCUUGCCCCAAUCUUCUUCUUCAGAACCAGCUGCAUUUGCGCCUUGAAUUCAAAUCCAUGAACCCAGCUCUACUUUGGCGACCGCUUAGCCGCCCCCAGGACCGGGACGUCAUCACCGCCCUCCUCUCCGAUCUCCGCUCGAUGGCGCUCCGCGUGGCUCCCCCGCUGCCGCCUCCUCCUCCUGAGCCUGACUAGUCCGCUUGGCGACUAUGUGGACUGUAGCGUGCUUUUUUUGGGUUUUGGGCUUGUUGUGCUGUGCCCUCAGCUAUGACCCUAUGUUGUACUAUUUUGGCUCCUGUGGACCUCCAUGUGUGUGUGUCUGUUGUGUGCUGGAUCUUCUUGGAUGCUUAUUGUGCGGUUGGCUUUAUAAUAUAAAGCGGGGCGAAAGCCUUUUUCGGUAAA